AGAUUGAACGCUAGCGGGACGCUCUACACAUGCAAGUCGAACGGCAGCGCGGACUUCGGUCUGGCGGCGAGUGGCGAACGGGUGAGUAAUAUAUCGGAACGUGCCCAGUAGCGGGGGAUAACUACGCGAAAGCGUGGCUAAUACCGCAUACGCCCUACGGGGGAAAGGGGGGGAUCGCAAGACCUCUCACUAUUGGAGCGGCCGAUAUCAGAUUAGCUAGUUGGUGAGGUAAAGGCUCACCAAGGCGACGAUCUGUAGCUGGUUUGAGAGGACGACCAGCCACACUGGGACUGAGACACGGCCCAGACUCCUACGGGAGGCAGCAGUGGGGAAUUUUGGACAAGUGGGGGAAACCCUGACUCCAGCCA
This 368-nucleotide ribosomal RNA is filed under the name uncultured soil bacterium. RNAcentral describes it as "bacterial SSU rRNA". It matches the Rfam family "Bacterial small subunit ribosomal RNA", at positions 26 to 394 of the family's 1533-position model. The record is from RNAcentral.